This 284-nucleotide unclassified non-coding RNA is filed under the name Hevea brasiliensis (rubber tree). The record is from RNAcentral. Lineage: Eukaryota; Viridiplantae; Streptophyta; Magnoliopsida; Malpighiales; Euphorbiaceae.
CGUCUUUUGCUCAUUUGUCUGCGUUGAUACCGAAGAUGCGCACCUUGUGCAUGUUGGGGAACUUAGCAAUCACCAGCACCAUUACGGCAAUUGUGUUCAAGAAUAGCAUCGGGUGCUGGUAGUCCGUGGUGUGUGACGCUAUCAAGUACAGCACAACAGGUACAACAGUCAAAAACUUGCGAUUGCGCGUCAGUUGCUUGCCACUGUCCAUCUGCUCCCACCAUGUCAACGUAUUGUAGAUACCCUGGUCCUCGGCAAAGGGAGUUCCUUUCUUCCAAUGGAAG